UACGUAGGUGGCGAGCGUUGUCCGGAAUUACUGGGCGUAAAGCGUGCGCAGGCGGUUUUGUAAGUCUGACGUGAAAGCCCCGGGCUUAACCUGGGAAUUGCGUUGGAGACUGCAAGGCUUGAAUCUGGCAGAGGGGGGUAGAAUUCCACGUGUAGCAGUGAAAUGCGUAGAGAUGUGGAGGAACACCGAUGGCGAAGGCAGCCCCCUGGGUCAAGAUUGACGCUCAUGCACGAAAGCGUGGGGAGCAAACAGG
RNAcentral lists this ribosomal RNA (253 nucleotides) under uncultured bacterium. RNAcentral's name for it is "partial 16S ribosomal RNA". It matches the Rfam family "Bacterial small subunit ribosomal RNA", at positions 524 to 776 of the family's 1533-position model. The record is from RNAcentral.